Molecule: ribosomal RNA, 255 nt
Filed under: uncultured bacterium
Lineage: Bacteria
Description: partial 16S ribosomal RNA
Rfam family: Bacterial small subunit ribosomal RNA
Source: RNAcentral
UACGUAGGGUGCAAGCGUUGUCCGGAAUUAUUGGGCGUAAAGCGCACGUAGGCGGCUUCUUAAGUCAGGGGUGAAAUCCUGGAGCUCAACUCCAGAACUGCCUUUGAUACUGAGAAGCUUGAGUUCGGGAGAGGUGAGUGGAACUGCGAGUGUAGAGGUGAAAUUCGUAGAUAUUCGCAAGAACACCAGUGGCGAAGGCGGCUCACUGGCCCGAGUACUGACGCUGAGGUGCGAAAGCGUGGGGAGCAAACAGGG